CCUACGGGUGGCAGCAGUGGGGAAUAUUGCACAAUGGGGGAAACCCUGAUGCAGCGACGCCGCGUGAGCGAUGAAGGACUUCGGUAUGUAAAGCUCUAUCAGCAGGGAAGAAAAUGACGGUACCUGACUAAGAAGCGCCGGCUAACUACGUGCCAGCAGCCGCGGUAAUACGUCGGGGGCAAGCGUUAUCCGGAUUUACUGGGGGUAAAGGGAGCGUAGACGGGUUUGCAAGCCAGAUGUGAAAGCCCCGGGCUCAACCCCGGGACUGCAUUUGAAACUGGAAGGCUAGAGUGUCGGAGAGGCAGGCGGAAUUCCUGGUGUAGCGGUGAAAUGCGUAGAGAUCAGGAGGAACACCAGUGGCGAAGGCGGCCUGCUGGACGAAGACUGACGUUGAGGCUCGAAAGCGUGGGGAGCAAACAGGAUUAGAUACCCGAGUAGUC
Molecule: ribosomal RNA, 440 nt
Filed under: uncultured bacterium
Lineage: Bacteria
Description: partial 16S ribosomal RNA
Rfam family: Bacterial small subunit ribosomal RNA
Source: RNAcentral